CAUGUGAUACAAUCAAAAAUACAUAAAUGAGGGCUUUCACAAUGUAGCAUGAAGUAACAACAAAGAAAAACUUUUUAAAAAAAAUAUUCAAUUCCAGCAAACUAAAAGUGAAAUUGAAAAAUAUCUAGCAUGUUUGACUAGCAACAUCAAAAUUGGAAACAAGUCUAUUUCAUUACACAUGCUAAACAUAUGUUCUCGGAUUUUGAACAUACAAAUCAAAUCAAACAAUACUAAGCUGAGCAGUCUAAUUCAAAGCUUACAAGCCUAACCCAGCUCAAUAACUCAACCUGAUCAUAUCCCAGAUAGAGUACAAAAGUCACUGUUGCAUUCAUGGUGUAAAAACAACUCAAAAGAUGUCACCAGGUUUUGAGAGACAAUGGAGCAUCAUUACAAAGCAACAAACCAAUCACUUGGUUGCAAAUUAAACGGUGAUGUGAUUCAGUUUCACUAUCACCAAUCAUAGCCAACUCAAAAAGAAUAAUUCCAUCAUUGACAAAAAAAAAAA
Camellia sinensis is the source of this 505-nucleotide non-coding RNA. The record is from RefSeq and is a predicted model, not a curated record. Lineage: Eukaryota; Viridiplantae; Streptophyta; Magnoliopsida; Ericales; Theaceae.